CCGUGCCCAAGAGAUCGGGAUAACACCUGGAAACAGAUGCUAAUACCGGAUAACAACAGAUGAUGCCUAUCAACUGUUUAAAAGAUGGUUCUGCUAUCACUCUUGGAUGGACCUGCGGUGCAUUAGCUAGUUGGUAGGGUAACGGCCUGCCAAGGCGAUGAUGCAUAGCCGAGUUGAGAGACUGAUCGGCCACAUUGGGACUGAGACACGGCCCAAACUCCUACGGGAGGCAGCAGAC
This 238-nucleotide ribosomal RNA is filed under the name uncultured Lactobacillus sp. RNAcentral describes it as "partial 16S ribosomal RNA". It matches the Rfam family "Bacterial small subunit ribosomal RNA", at positions 125 to 354 of the family's 1533-position model. Lineage: Bacteria; Bacillati; Bacillota; Bacilli; Lactobacillales; Lactobacillaceae. The record is from RNAcentral.